ACUCAAAUGAAUUGACGGGGGCCCGCACAAGCGGUGGAGCAUGUGGUUUAAUUCGACGCAACGCGAAGAACCUUACCAAGGCUUGACAUCCCUCUGACCGGGUCUUAGCCGACCCUUCUCUUCGGAGCAGAGGAGACAGGUGGUGCAUGGUUGUCGUCAGCUCGUGUCGUGAGAUGUUGGGUUAAGUCCCGCAACGAGCGCAACCCUUACUUCUAGUUGCCAUCAUUAAGUUGGGCACUCUAGAGGGACUGCCGGUGACAAACCGGAGGAAGGUGGGGAUGACGUCAAAUCAUCAUGCCCCUUAUGUCUUGGGCUACACACGUGCUACAAUGGGCAGUACAGAGGGCCGCGAGACCGCGAGGUUGAGCCAAUCCCUUAAAGCUGUUCUCAGUUCGGAUUGCAGGCUGCAACUCGCCUGCAUGAAGUCGGAAUCGCUAGUAAUCGCAGGUCAGCAUACUGCGGUGAAUACGUUCCCGGGCCUUGCACACACCGCCCGU
This 497-nucleotide ribosomal RNA is filed under the name uncultured bacterium. RNAcentral describes it as "bacterial SSU rRNA". It matches the Rfam family "Bacterial small subunit ribosomal RNA", at positions 899 to 1397 of the family's 1533-position model. The record is from RNAcentral.